This 25-nucleotide non-coding RNA is filed under the name Cricetulus griseus (Chinese hamster). The record is from RNAcentral. Lineage: Eukaryota; Metazoa; Chordata; Mammalia; Rodentia; Cricetidae.
GUAAAAGAGCCUGCAGAACAUAACA